CUUCACUCUAUCGUUUAACAUGAUACGAUUAAGCUUCUUGUAAGUAAUUAAUAUGGACUUUUGUAUGUUUUCUUUUGGUAAACAAAUAUUAAUAACCAUUGUUUUUUGUCCAAUAUGUAGAUUAUCGUAUUCAUUUAGCAUUCAGUGCCAACGUUGGCCAUCAUUAUUGUCCAAUAACGUGUUAGGUUAGUUAUGUACAUACAGGUUUGUAGUAUCUUAACAUGCAGUGUUCCUGACAUCGAUAUGGUAGAUUGGAAACAAGUACGGUAAUUUAAUGAUACAUUGAAGAUUCCACCCAAUGGCAUUAGAUGUAAUAUAUUCAUACAAUCUUGUAAAUCAGCACCCUUGUUUUAAUAGGAAUAAAUACAUUUCUGUUAAUCCAGAACCUCCCAAUCUAUUAGGCCACAUACGAUGUAAUAGAGUAUAUCCAUAUUAUAUUUUCACUCUACUAUUUGGUUUCAUCCAGUAAUUAAGAUGGCACCAUUCA
Molecule: non-coding RNA, 487 nt
Organism: Paramuricea clavata
Lineage: Eukaryota; Metazoa; Cnidaria; Anthozoa; Malacalcyonacea; Plexauridae
Source: the annotation of a GenBank genome assembly